AGGGUAUCGCAGAUCCACGGGUAGCGGGCCGCUGCUGGCUCGGCAUGGCGGCGCCCUCCAGAGACUGUGCUUCGCGUCCCUCAUUGGAUGCAGGCAUAUUUUUCCCCGAAGGCAGUCGACCCCCGCAGCCGCUUCACGGCCACGGCUUUCUGCUGCACGGCGCCCGGGCAGUGGGCAAGACGUCUCUUGCCUUCCAGGCAGCCAUCAACACCGUCCAGCGUGCCGGCGGUAGCGUAGUAGUGCUGUGCCAGGAAUCUACGCUGUACGCCAAGGUGCCGCAGCCCUUCACUCCACUGAGCUCCUUGUCCGAGUCGGCCCUCGGCCACAUCGAGUUCAUCUAUGUGGAGGGCUGGACGGCGGCGCUGCGGGAGAUGAUGGGAUUUCGCACGACUCGAGCAGUGCCGGCGCUAUUGAUCGUUGAUGACGACGGCUUCGAGGUGACGGUGCCGGCAGAUGGCCGCGGCAAGCGGUCUGGGCAGUACCUAGACUUCCUCGUCGCUACCGCUGCCGCCUCGUGUCUCUCCUAUUUGGAAAACCUCCAUGACUGGAUGACCCGCCACGAUCGCCCUUUCUUCUAUAUCCUCGUCACAAACCACCUUCCGGAAUCCGCGACGCAGCUGUCGCUUCCCUACGCGGCCUUUCCGCUCGUGAACGUGUGGGUUGGCGCGUCGGGGACGGUGCAGAUCACCACAACCCAAGCCGGUGGCACAGCAGAGGUGGUGUCCCCGCCUGCGUAUCUUACGUGGCAGAAUGGGCUGCGCAUGAGGGGCUGACGUAUUACAGGUGUUGUGUGCUGUGGGCUGUUGUGUGGCAUUGACGAAGGUGUGCUGGGCCUCUCACGCUUGCGCUACCGCUGCUUCUGCUGUUCCUCUUCCUCCUCUUCUUGCCCUUACUGGAAGAUUUAUCAUAC
Molecule: unclassified non-coding RNA, 910 nt
Filed under: Leishmania donovani
Lineage: Eukaryota; Euglenozoa; Kinetoplastea; Trypanosomatida; Trypanosomatidae
Description: gene:LdHU3.31.0710(CDS-product:hypothetical_prote in_conserved)
Source: RNAcentral